Molecule: ribosomal RNA, 735 nt
Filed under: Protoperidinium thulesense
Lineage: Eukaryota; Dinophyceae; Peridiniales; Protoperidiniaceae
Description: eukaryotic LSU rRNA
Rfam family: Eukaryotic large subunit ribosomal RNA
Source: RNAcentral
ACCCGCUGAAUUUAAGCAUAUAAGUAGGCGGUGAAUGAGAAACUAACCAGGUUUACCUCAGCAAUGGCGAAUGCAGAGGGUUGAGCUCAUUGUGGAAGUCAGGGUGCUCGAUCCCGACUUGUAUUCUUGAGGUGUGCAACCCACAGAGGUGUAGCUCUAGGCUUUUGGGAAGGUGCAUUGAUGAGGGUGACAACCCUGUGUGUCAGCUACAGCCCUCAGCGUGUGGUGCACAAUUCGCGAGUCACAUUCCUUUGGAUUGGUGUGUGAAGGAGGUGGUGCAAUUCAUCUGAAGCUGAAUAUUUGUCUGAGACUGAUAGCGAACAAGUACCAUGAGGGAAAGGUGAAACAGGACUUUGAAAAGAGAGCUAAGCAUGCCUGAACUUGCUGAACAGGACAUGAGGGAAACCAGUAUAACUUGGUAAGCUUGCUGUGCGUGCCCCGUCUUGAAACACGGAUCAAGGAGUCUAAUAUACGUGCGCGCUCAUCGGUUGUAGAACUUGUUAGCACAACAAAGAUAUCGGUUGGGAAAUGUGCACCAACACCCGAUCUUGCAACUGCGGAAGGUUCGAGUAUGAGCAUGUCUAUUAGGACCCGAAAGAUGGUGAACUAUGCCUGUGAAGGGCAAAUUCAGGGGAAACUCUGAUGGAGGCCCGCAGCGAUACUGACGUGCAAAUCGUUCGUCAUACAGGGGCAUAGGGGUGAAAGACUAAUCGAAUCAUCUAGUAGCUGGUUCCC